AGUGAACGCUGGCGGUAGGCCUAACACAUGCAAGUCGAACGGCAGCACAGUAAGAGCUUGCUCUUACGGGUGGCGAGUGGCGGACGGGUGAGGAAUACAUCGGAAUCUACUUUUUCGUGGGGGAUAACGUAGGGAAACUUACGCUAAUACCGCAUACGACCUACGGGUGAAAGCAGGGGAUCUUCGGACCUUGCGCGAUUGAAUGAGCCGAUGUCGGAUUAGCUAGUUGGCGGGGUAAAGGCCCACCAAGGCGACGAUCCGUAGCUGGUCUGAGAGGAUGAUCAGCCACACUGGAACUGAGACACGGUCCAGACUCCUACGGGAGGCAGCAGUGGGGAAUAUUGGAUAAUGGGCGCAAGCCUGAUCCAGCCAUACCGCGUGGGUGAAGAAGGCCUUCGGGUUGUAAAGCCCCUUUGUUGGGAAAGAAAAGCAGCAGGUUAAUACCCCGCUGUUCUGACGGUACCCAAAGAAUAAGCACCGGCUAACUUCGUG
This 492-nucleotide ribosomal RNA is filed under the name uncultured bacterium. RNAcentral's name for it is "partial 16S ribosomal RNA". It matches the Rfam family "Bacterial small subunit ribosomal RNA", at positions 29 to 507 of the family's 1533-position model. The record is from RNAcentral.